CUCGUAUUCUAGCCUUCCAGGAGUUUCUUCAACUACACCGGACACUCUUGCUCCAUGUGGACUAGAAGAAAUAUAUGUAAAGAUUUAAGAAGAUUUUUGUGUAUAUUCUUGAAUAUUCUUUAUGUAAAUUAAAGUUAUUGAAUGAAACUGGUGGCUUUGCUGAAGACCAACUUACAAGGUUCCAGCGAAUCCAGCGGCUUUGUGUCGAAGUAACGUGGGUUCAGGUGGUCGACACAUCAAAAUCAAUUCUUGAUCAGCUAGCAUUACAACACCGGGAAAAGCCGGAAACCAUAUUCGCAGAACGAGGAGAAAAACGCAGUGAAGGCGGGAAACGAAAAUUUCGAUCGAUGACUCACGUUCCUCUUCAGGAUGCCGCAUCUCGAGAAGUCAGUCACCUUCAGGAAGUAGUUAUCUUCCUGAGGAUCGUUGGGAUCUGGCCUGAUCUGGCAGUGAAUGUCGGUGAGUGGAUUGGCGGAUCUGUCGUCGGCA
Long non-coding RNA from Apis laboriosa (Himalayan honeybee), 489 nucleotides. RefSeq lists it as uncharacterized. Lineage: Eukaryota; Metazoa; Arthropoda; Insecta; Hymenoptera; Apidae. The transcript has 3 exons. The record is from RefSeq and is a predicted model, not a curated record.